CGAGCGCCCCGCAAGGGGAGCGGCGAACGGGUGAGUAACGCGUAAACAAUCUGCCCGGAAAUGGGGGAUAACCAUCCCAACGGAUGGCUAAUACCGCAUAGGGUUAUCGGGUGGCAUUACCUGGUAACGAAAGGCUUCGGCCGUUUUCGGAUGAGUUUGCGUCCCAUUAGUUAGUUGGCGGGGUAACGGCCCACCAAGACCGCGAUGGGUAGCCGGCCUGAGAGGGUGUACGGCCACAUUGGGACUGAGAUACGGCCCAGACUCCUACGGGAGGCAGCAGUAGGGAAUUUUGCGCAAUGGGGGAAACCCUGACGCAGCAACGCCAUGUGAGGGAUGACGCAUUUCGGUGUGUAAACCUCUGUCAGCAGGGAAUAAAUGGUCCGUAAGGACAGUUGAAUGUACCUGCAAAGGAAGCCCCGGCUAACUUCGUGCCAGCAGCCGCGGUAAUACGAGGGGGGCAAGUGUUGUUCGGAAUCACUGGGCGUAAAGGGAGCGUAGGCGGGCGCUUAAGUGGGAUGUUUAAAACCGGGGCCCAACCCCGGAGCGGCAUUCCAAACUGGGCGUCUUGAAUAGGGGAGAGGUCGAUGGAAUUGGAGGUGUAGCGGUGGAAUGCCGUAGAGAUCUCCAAGAACACGGAUUGCGAAGGCAGUCGACUGGACCCAUAUUGACGCUGAGGCUCGAAAGCAUGGGGAGCAAACAGGAUUAGAUACCCUGGUAGUCCAUGCCAUAAACGAUGAAUACUAGGUAUGGGACCCGUCAACGGUUCCGUGCCGUAGCUAACGCGUUAAGUAUUCCGCCUGGGGAGUACGGUCGCAAGACUGAAACUCAAAGGAAUUG
This 837-nucleotide ribosomal RNA is filed under the name uncultured Fibrobacterota bacterium. Its description in RNAcentral is "bacterial SSU rRNA". It matches the Rfam family "Bacterial small subunit ribosomal RNA", at positions 63 to 912 of the family's 1533-position model. The record is from RNAcentral. Lineage: Bacteria; Pseudomonadati; Fibrobacterota.